UAAGUUAUUGGUCGAAGUCAGGCUCAACUUGACGGAAGGUGAUAAUAGUAUUCUGCUUAGAGGAAAGGAGAGGUUAGUGGAAUUCUGUGUGUAGCGGUGAAAUGCGUUGAUCUACAGAGGAACACCAAAAAAGGCGAAGGCAACUAACUAUUCUUUUCUGACAUUGAGGCAUGAAAGCGUGGGGAGCAAACCGGAUUAGAUACCCGGGUAGUCCACGCCCUAAACGAUGAGCAUUAGAUAUUGGACGAUUGUUCAGUGUCGCAGCUAACGCUUUAAAUGCUCCGCCUGGGUAGUACGGCCGCAAGGCUGAAACUCAAAGGAAUUGACGGGGACCCGCACAAGCGCUGGAGCAUGUGGUUUAAUCCGAUACUACGCGUAAAACCUUACCAAGGCUUGACAUGUUUGGCAAAGCUAGGGAAACCUAGGAGAGGUUAUCCAGACACAGGUGUCUGCAUGGCCGUCGUCAGUUCGUGCUGUGAAGUGUACGCUUAAGUGCUAGAACGAACGCAACCCUCAUACUUAGUUACUACAUUUAAGGUGAGAUCUCUAGGUAGACUGCCAAGGCAACUUGGAGGAAGGAGAGGAUGACCGUUCUGGUCGUC
RNAcentral lists this ribosomal RNA (602 nucleotides) under Candidatus Moeniiplasma glomeromycotorum. Its description in RNAcentral is "bacterial SSU rRNA". It matches the Rfam family "Bacterial small subunit ribosomal RNA", at positions 584 to 1194 of the family's 1533-position model. Lineage: Bacteria; Bacillati; Mycoplasmatota; Mollicutes; Mycoplasmatales; Mycoplasmataceae. The record is from RNAcentral.